This 2216-nucleotide small RNA is filed under the name Vigna angularis var. angularis. Its description in RNAcentral is "Non-protein coding transcript". Lineage: Eukaryota; Viridiplantae; Streptophyta; Magnoliopsida; Fabales; Fabaceae. The record is from RNAcentral.
CACAAUUCCUCUUCAUCCUUCCUGCCCAGGCGAUUUUAAAAAACAAAUGUCACCCAUUCAUGGACAACCAUAUAUUACCAAUAACAUGUCAAGACUACAAUAUCAUACAUAUCAACAAAUUUCAGGUGUAUCAUACUCAAGACGACACCAGUCCAAUCUCUGUGCAAAUUAGCAUUCUCCUCAUCUACUAUGUAGAUAAAUAAAUAUCUAUUACAAAAAAUCAUGGAAUAGCAUUACAAACAAUGAACUACGGUUCUUCACUCCAAGAAAGUUUUAAUCCACACGUCCACCACCAUCAUAUCCGUCUUCGGCAAGAAGCGACAUUUUUUUGAAGGCAAGGCAAAUGCUAACGAGUUAUAAGGACACUUGUUAAGGAUCGAAAAAUUAAAGUACUGUAUUAUAUUAAUUGUUGUGCAUUUCACCAUAUAUAUUUUGCUACUUUUUAUUGUUAACAAGUGUCCUUGCACUUGUUAGCAUAACUCAUUUCAAAACAAAUAAACUCGCAUAAGCCUGCAAUCAGAAGUUUUGAAAGUAUUAUGACAUAAUUACCAUAUACGCGAGCUUAAAAGAAGAUCACCCCCUUCAAACUCAAAAUAUUUAGGUGGCAAUGCACGAGAUCCACCUAGUAGGGUGUGUGGAGAGGAUAGAUGUACGCAACAUCACCACUACAAGUAGAUAGAUGGGUUAUUUUCAUGAUUUGAACCUAAGAAGCACAAAUAAAAAACCUCGCGAUUGAGCUAAGAUUCCCAUAAAACCCUAUAAUAGUUAAUAAUCCAACAAAUAAAUGAAGACAUCGUAACAGGAUUACUUCUAAACAAGCAAUUAUAUGUCACUUCUAGUUCUUACAUUAAAAAAGGAGGAAAAAACCCUUUUGGUCCCUUGUGUUCUUUAUUCAAUUUGAUUCCUUGUUUUCCUUUUAUCAAAUGAAUUCUUACGUUUACAAGCUUUAAUGUUUGCCAAAAUGUCACUUUCCAUCAAAUGUCCUUACUAAUGUGCACACAUGCCUGUUAACUCCUGAAUUACAAUGAUUGUAUGACUUGGGUGUUGUAAAGAUGUUAAGAUUGGCCCUUAUGUUGGCCCUUAUGAGUUGGGUUUAGAGCUUGAUAGUUGUGUUAAGUUGGAACAGUAACAAGAUGAGCUUAGAAGGAAGAAUAACAGUAUUCACUGUGGUAGGAGAACAACACUCAGGUAAGUGCAGUUCAGGAGAUGGGAAGGUGAUGAGGAAAGUCACGAGCUACGGUGGUUUCAAUUAGCAGCUUUGGUAGCUUCAAUGGUUUCGAGAGUAACAUUACCCAACUCAAUUCUAUGGUUUACACUUUUCCACCACUACAUUCUGAUUCAUGCUCUAUUUUGCAACUACAACUUUAACACAAGGUCCAUAUGAUCUAGUGGCCACACCUAUGUUGAGACUUAGUUUAGAUUCACAGAAAUGUUUUUCAACAUCUAUUGUUGUUGUGUUGCAUUGGAAGAAAUGGUAUAGGGAAAACAUUUCGUCUGCCACUGGUUUCUCUAUUCUAUCAUCGCCUUUGCCCAAGUAGUUUAUCCCUAAAAUCUGUAUGUACAAUAAUCAAAUAAAGAUCCCAUAUAUAGUUUGACAACCAUGUGCAACAAAGCUAAGAGCUCUCUGAUAAUGGCAUUUCACAAGCUGGUUCUGUAAUGAUGGUUUCAGUUGUUUAUGGUACUUUUUGAACAAAUGACGAUGGCUGCCUUGGUGGACUGGGUAUGUGACAAUAAAAGCUAACAUAAUACAGAAUCAAACCCUUACAUGUGCUAAGAGGUUGUUUCUAUACUCAGACCCACAGCCAAUCCCAAGGUCCCAGAUAGAGUAAUAUGAGAUGUUAACAAUUAAAUUUUAAGGGAGGGUUCUCCAAGUGCUUGGUUGUUUAUUAGUCUAUCUGAGUGGAUCACCAGUUCAACUCGUUGAAUCUUGAGCCUGAGAGCAUAAUUCAAGGCUGUGUUUGAGUACAUGAGAUUAAGUGAGGUAGACAAAAGUUAUACUCAAAAGGUCACGACAGAAGGAGUGCAGUAGAAAGGCAAAAAGGUACAAAUAUAUGCGCACAUUAGCAAUGCGACUGAAUGCGGGGAGAUGUUCGGAAGUGACUAAGUAUAUAUUGAUAGUAUUAAAUGUUUAAUAGGAAAUUAUAGUAGGGAUAUAUUGAUAGUAUUAAAUGUUACACUUUCAAAUAAUUUUUUUCGCUUGGGGGUGUUUACAUUUU